This is a long non-coding RNA of Salvia splendens (bonfire salvia), 447 nucleotides long. RefSeq lists it as uncharacterized. The transcript is spliced from 2 exons. The record is from RefSeq and is a predicted model, not a curated record. NCBI's taxonomy places the organism in Eukaryota, Viridiplantae, Streptophyta, Magnoliopsida, Lamiales, Lamiaceae.
UCUCCAUCUCCAUCUGCAUCUUCAUCUCCAUCUCCUUAACCUUCUCCUUCUUCAUCUCCUUAUCCGGGUCCGUAUCCUCCUCCACCUCCACCUCCACCUCCAUUUUCAUCUCCUUCUCCUCCUCGUCGUUGGACUCCCUAGGAUCAGAGAGCUUGGGAAAGGAGUGAUGGUGAUUGGGAGUGGCAGUGUUGUUGAGCUUGAGGAUGGAGGAUCGGCGUGGGUGAACGUUGUGGCAAAGUUUCUUCAAUCGAGCUCGCAAUUCGCGCGUCUUCCCCUUGGAUGGCCCCUUCGAACUCUCAAACCAUAUGUCCCAGCUGAAACCCCAACAAUACCAUCAAUUUCUAAUCUACUUUCAACUUCUAUAAUACUUAUCAUAAUAUUGUCUUUCCUGUUUCAUUCCUCUUGUUUUCUUAUUACUUGCUAAACAAACUAAGACUCAAUAAAAUU